RNAcentral lists this ribosomal RNA (253 nucleotides) under uncultured bacterium. RNAcentral describes it as "partial 16S ribosomal RNA". It matches the Rfam family "Bacterial small subunit ribosomal RNA", at positions 524 to 776 of the family's 1533-position model. The record is from RNAcentral.
UACGUAGGUGACAAGCGUUGUUCGGAAUUACUGGGCGUAAAGGGCGCGUAGGCGGUCUUGUAAGUCUUGUGUGAAAUCCCUCGGCUUAACUGAGGAACUGCACGGGAUACUGCGAGACUUGAGAUCGGGAGAGGGAAGCGGAAUUCCGGGUGUAGCGGUGAAAUGCGUAGAUAUCCGGAGGAACACCGGUGGCGAAGGCGGCUUCCUGGACCGACACUGACGCUGAGGCGCGAAAGCUAGGGGAGCAAACGGG